This 645-nucleotide long non-coding RNA is filed under the name Cyanistes caeruleus (blue tit). Its description in RNAcentral is "lncRNA (ENSCCEG00000024293.1)". The record is from RNAcentral. Lineage: Eukaryota; Metazoa; Chordata; Aves; Passeriformes; Paridae.
UCAGGAAGUGUAUGAGCAGUGGUUCAGGUUUUCAUUAUUUUACUCUUAUGGUAACAACAAAUUGUCUCCAUCAGAAAUCAUCAUCAUGAAGUGGUUGCAAAGGACAGGCAUGGAGGUCUAAAGACACAUGGUGAAAUACACAGUGCUUCUGAAAUCUGCUGAUGAAUGAAGGGUGGUGUGAACCAUGACUUGCAAGCUGCAGAAUGGUUUGCAGGGUAGGAUUUGGGAUGUCCCACCCUCCAGAAACAAUCUGGAUCAUAGUGAUAGCUGAAGUUGUGCAUAACUGACACGAGCGGUAAGUGAAGGCAGUGAGAUUUUGCAAGGUAAAAGAAAAAAAUCUGCAAUUGAACUUCUUAUCUCUGAUUAUGUUCCAAAAAGAUCAAGAGCUGUUCUGUUGUAGUUUUCCUAUUUCAUAUAUUGAUAGGCUUCUAAAGCACAGAGCAAUUAGAUAAAUUGUCUACCAGUGCUCAGAAAGAGGGGCUGAUACAAAUUUCCUAAGCCAGUCAUGUGACAGGUAAGACAGUUAUGCAGAUCCUAGCAAAAAUGGCUGGAAUUUCUACUCGUGAAGAAGUCAAGACAGAAAUCAUCUUCAGCUGAACAUAUAUAAAUAUAUGCAAAAAAAAAUAAAUCUUUGUAUUUAGAACA